Molecule: ribosomal RNA, 399 nt
Filed under: uncultured bacterium
Lineage: Bacteria
Description: bacterial SSU rRNA
Rfam family: Bacterial small subunit ribosomal RNA
Source: RNAcentral
GGGAAUAUUGGACAAUGGGGGCAACCCUGAUCCAGCCAUGCCGCGUGAGUGAUGAAGGCCUUCGGGUUGUAAAGCUCUUUUGGCGGGGACGAUGAUGACGGUACCCGCAGAAUAAGCCCCGGCUAACUUCGUGCCAGCAGCCGCGGUAAGACGAAGGGGGCAAGCGUUGUUCGGAAUUCCUGGGCGUAAAGGGCGCGUAGGCGGUUUGCUUAGUCAGGCGUGAAAGCCCUGGGCUUAACCUGGGAUGUGCGCUUGAUACUGGCAGGCUUGAGUGUGGGAGANGUUGGUGGAAUGCCCAGUGUAGAGGUGAAAUUCGUAGAUAUUGGGAAGAACACCGGUGGCGAAGGCGGCCAACUGGACCGCAACUGACGCUGAGGCGCGAAAGCGUGGGGAGCAAAC